UGAGUUUGAUCCUGGCUCAGAACGAACGCUGGCGGCGUGCUUAACCCAUGCAAGUCGAACGUGAUCCGGAGCUUGCUCCGGUGAAAGUGGCGCACGGGUGAAUAACACGUGGAUAAUCUGCCUGGCGAUUCGGGAUAACACUUCGAAAGGGGUGCUAAUACCGGACAAGCCCACAGUCUCCUCGGAGGGUGCGGGAAAAGGGGGCCUCUGUAUAUGCUCCUGUCGCUAGAUGAGUCCGCGGCCCAUUAGCUAGUUGGUAGGGUAAUGGCCUACCAAGGCGACGAUGGGUAGCUGGUYUGAGAGGAUGAUCAGCCACACKGGAACUGAGACACGGUCCAGACUCCUACGGGAGGCAGCAGUGGGGAAUUUUGCGCAAUGGGSGAAAGCCUGACSCAGCAACGCCGCGAGAGUGAUGAAGGCCUUCGGGUCGUAAAGCUCUGUCAGAGGGGAAGAACCGCCGGGUGGCUAAUACCUGCCUGGUCKGACGGUACCCUCAAAGGAAGCACCGGCUAACUCCGUGCCAGCAGCCGCGGUAAUAC
This 539-nucleotide ribosomal RNA is filed under the name uncultured Geobacteraceae bacterium. RNAcentral describes it as "bacterial SSU rRNA". It matches the Rfam family "Bacterial small subunit ribosomal RNA", at positions 1 to 526 of the family's 1533-position model. The record is from RNAcentral. Lineage: Bacteria; Pseudomonadati; Thermodesulfobacteriota; Desulfuromonadia; Geobacterales; Geobacteraceae.